Molecule: ribosomal RNA, 301 nt
Filed under: uncultured bacterium
Lineage: Bacteria
Description: partial 16S ribosomal RNA
Rfam family: Bacterial small subunit ribosomal RNA
Source: RNAcentral
CAGUCGCCGCGGGAAUACGUAGGGUGCGGGCGUUAAUCGGAAUUACUGGGCGUAAAGCGUGCGCAGGCGGUUUUGUAAGACAGGCGUGAAAUCCCCGGGCUCAACCUGGGAAUGGCGCUUGUGACUGCAAAGCUAGAGUGCGGCAGAGGGGGAUGGAAUUCCGCGUGUAGCAGUGAAAUGCGUAGAUAUGCGGAGGAACACCGAUGGCGAAGGCAAUCCCCUGGGCCUGCACUGACGCUCAUGCACGAAAGCGCGGGGAGCGAACAGGAUUAGAGACCCGUGUAGUCCCUGUCUCUUAUAC